AUGGCGACCGGCGCACGGGUGAGUAACGCGUAUCCAACCUGCCCUUUACUAUGGGACAGCCCGUCGAAAGGCGGAUUAAUACCGUAUGUUGUCAUGUUGAUGCAUAUUUUCAUGACCAAAGGCUUCGGCCGGUAAAGGAUGGGGAUGCGUCUGAUUAGCUUGCCGGCGGGGUAACGGCCCACCGGGGCGACGAUCAGUAGGGGUUCUGAGAGGAAGGUCCCCCACAUGGAACUGAGACACGGUCCAAACUCCUACGGAAGGCAGCAG
RNAcentral lists this ribosomal RNA (267 nucleotides) under uncultured bacterium. RNAcentral describes it as "partial 16S ribosomal RNA". It matches the Rfam family "Bacterial small subunit ribosomal RNA", at positions 88 to 354 of the family's 1533-position model. The record is from RNAcentral.